Molecule: long non-coding RNA, 1105 nt
Organism: Bombus pyrosoma
Lineage: Eukaryota; Metazoa; Arthropoda; Insecta; Hymenoptera; Apidae
Exons: 4
Source: RefSeq, a predicted model, not a curated record
CAGAAACACCCACCUAACCUUAACCUAACGACAAAUUGUCAGUAGUUUCCGUUGUGGGGAAAAGAUCAGUUAGAAACAAUUAAGUCGGUCUGUGCAGCAGCUUAAAUCAGAAACGACACUAAUACGUCUUCCGGGAACACCGAAAGGAGAUCCACGCACCGAUCCCUGCUGUUUCUCUCUCCCGGCUCGUUCUUCUUAUCCCUCGUAAUAAUAAUUACCAACACACCGCGGUGCAGGCACACCGAGAAACCAACGGCAGCAGCAACACGGAACGAACAGCUAUCUAAAAGCUGUUGUACGUCGAUAAUGGUUCGAUGAUAGCAACGAACGUGUUAAGAGCGAAGAAGACUUGGAUGGUGAGAGUUAAGAUUUUGCAGCUUUUCUACAACGCACGUGAAGGUAGAGGAAGAAAGGAUCGAAUACGUAUGGACUACAUGUCUUAACGACACGCAGCAAAUUGCAGUGUUACGAACUGUCCACUGAAUCUCUUUCGAUUGUAACAGCGCGGCAUAUCUUACAAUUCGUUGCAGUCAUGUCUGUCAAAUUUCGAGGCUCACCUCGAGUAGUCAGUCGAGCAUGAUAGUUUAUUGUUCCAGUAUACGAGUGUACGAACACUAAUAUAAACACAAGCCAGUUCUAUGGCGUGUAUGGUGUACAAUUCUGGUUUACGGUACGCUUGAACAUUCUCUGUGCAGAGCACAAUGCAUAUACGUUAUGUAUGUAUAUAAAAGAAGAAAAAGAAAGGGAGAGAGAUGCCUCGGAGGUGUUACGGCGUAACUCCGUCAUUAUCCUCGGCGGCCGUGAUCGUCCGGGGAAAAUUAUAUUCAGAUGAGAAGGAAAUCAAUUCCACGAUAGAAUCGGCGAGCCUUCGAUUAGAACCGAAGCUGGUGCGGGAAAUGCAACGGAAAGUGGAUUAAAUUCCAACGGAUGUUUCUUUUUCGAGUAUUACCGUCGAGAACAUUGCUUCCUCCGAGGCCAGGUUGUCUUCGACGCUUCCAGUCGAUGAGUCAUUUAAAAUAUUUCUGAAAAUAUCUGAAACGUCUUAUAUUUUCUUCUUUCUUUUGUACGACGAGCAAGCGUUCGUUAAUUUUAAUGUCACGCUGAG